AAGAAUUUAGCUUAAAUUAAAAGCGUUUGACUUGCAUUCUAUUGAUGUGGGGUUAAGUCUCGCAGUCCUUA
RNAcentral lists this transfer RNA (71 nucleotides) under Tupaia belangeri chinensis (Chinese tree shrew). Its description in RNAcentral is "Tupaia chinensis (Chinese tree shrew) tRNA". It matches the Rfam family "tRNA". Rfam says of the family: Transfer RNA (tRNA) molecules are approximately 80 nucleotides in length. Their secondary structure includes four short double-helical elements and three loops (D, anti-codon, and T loops). The record is from Rfam by way of RNAcentral. Lineage: Eukaryota; Metazoa; Chordata; Mammalia; Scandentia; Tupaiidae.